UGCAUUAAGAUGGCAACAAGGGGCCGUGGA
RNAcentral lists this non-coding RNA (30 nucleotides) under Homo sapiens (human). Lineage: Eukaryota; Metazoa; Chordata; Mammalia; Primates; Hominidae. The record is from RNAcentral.